RNAcentral lists this ribosomal RNA (419 nucleotides) under uncultured bacterium. RNAcentral describes it as "bacterial SSU rRNA". It matches the Rfam family "Bacterial small subunit ribosomal RNA", at positions 355 to 772 of the family's 1533-position model. The record is from RNAcentral.
UAGGGAAUAUUGGACAAUGGGUGCGAGCCUGAUCCAGCCAUGCCGCGUGCAGGAAGACGGCCUUCUGGGUUGUAAACUGCUUUUGCCAGGGGAUAAAACGUCCAUGCGUGGAUAAUUGAAGGUACCUGGUGAAUAAGCCACGGCUAACUACGUGCCAGCAGCCGCGGUAAUACGUAGGUGGCAAGCGUUGUCCGGAUUUAUUGGGUUUAAAGGGUGCGUAGGCUGUUUUAUAAGUCAGUGGUGAAAUACAAUAGCUUAACUAUUGAGGUGCCAUUGAUACUGUAAGACUUGAGUACAGACGAGGUAGGCGGAAUUGACGGUGUAGCGGUGAAAUGCUUAGAUAUCGUCAAGAACACCGAUAGCGAAGGCAGCUUACUAGACUGUAACUGACGCUGAGGCACGAAAGUGUGGGGAUCAAA